Cygnus olor (mute swan) is the source of this 8808-nucleotide long non-coding RNA. RefSeq lists it as uncharacterized. The record is from RefSeq and is a predicted model, not a curated record. NCBI's taxonomy places the organism in Eukaryota, Metazoa, Chordata, Aves, Anseriformes, Anatidae. The transcript is spliced from 3 exons.
GCAAACUAAACAUCAGAUGACAAAAUUUGCAUCUUCUUAUAUAAAGCUACAUAAACAGAAUUAGUUAUUCAAACCUCAUCCUUAGGAAGGGAAAUAGCAAAUAUGAAGCAACAGAAAAAUGACAUUACAAUUAAAACUACGGUUAUACAGAUAGUGCAUGGCUUGACUACAUUUAUUACUGUUUAAUUUCAUGCAAAAGGAUUAUUAUGCAAUCAUUUCAUGUUAUAAAUUGAAUCUAUUCCUAACUGCCCUUUCAUCCCCCCCCAUAUCCCAAUUAUAAGCUUUACUCUGAUAUCUAAAUAAUUGCCUGGAGGUCUUGAAAAUGCACUGUGCAACCUUUCAUCUAUAUCCUUUUAGAGAACUAGAAGCCUAAAAUGUUCACAUGAGAUUUCCUCCUCCUGCUCGUAAUGCAAAUUCCAUUUGCUUGCCUUUAGACGGAGUCUUUCUUACUAGGUUUAAAGACUCUAGUUAAGACGUUUCCUUGUGUUUCUUCUCCUUAUUCAGACGGUUGUUUCUGUAUUUUGUGAGCCAGGAGGUGGUCCCGGGUCUGCACAGCGCUCGAGUGCAGAAAACACUGGCAUACAUCCACGUGACAGUACACACCCGGUCUCUCACACAAUAAUGAAGCCUGCUGCCAGACUUUCCCCAACAGGAGGAUUUUAUUACAUCGACAAACGCAAUUUAUUAAAACGCUCCUUCCUGAAGUGCAGAGGCAACAUACAGACUGAACUGAACGCUACCAACUACAGAAAGACCAAAGAAACUCUUUGUGACUCCCAAACGGCAGAAGAGAAAGUUAAAUGUAUCAUAAGAAUUAACUGGGACUACCCGAUUUUAGACAUCAAAGAUGUCUAUAUAUAUACACACAAAUACACUGAAUAUCAUAUAGGCAUUAUUUAUUUAGAAUUUUGCCCCCUAAAGCCUGUAGCUGUCACCCUGCAUUAGGAUGCCAGCGCAGCAGAACCAGGACACUACUUUCUACGCUGCCAACUGUUGAGAUUUCACGGAGGCAGCAGGACAAGCAGGACUGUGGAAGUUAUGCAAGAUUGCAGUGCCUUCGCUUCACAGGCGCAGCACAUAGACACGCGGUCCCCUGCAUGCUGGGCAGCACUUGAGGUCUAUUCAAUGUACUGUGCAACUGAUGUUUCAAUGCAGCUGCCCGGGAAAGGAGUAUCUUUAACAUAACAUACAGAACUGCAGUAGAGGUAACGAUGUCAUUGCUUCUGACAGAUAGCUCUUGCAUAAUUUACAUGAACAAAUGGGUUUUUAUGCCAUUAUGUUUUAUUCAAGAUUUAAAAAACCUCCCUACAUUUUCUGGAAAAAAACACACCCCUAAAAAAACAGAACCAAAAAAACCUUACCCUAAACCUAACAAAUCUCUACACCAGACUACCUGCCCAAAACUGCUCUCAGAGCACUUCUGUCUCUGUGACCAGGAAACUUUCGUAUACAUAAAAAAGCUUUUGUAUACAUAAAAAAAGCAAACACACGAAAAAGAAAUAGUUUGAAAUCUCUUCAAACAACAGAUGAAAACUAAAGGUGGUGGCACUGCAGAAGAGAUUACUGAAUGUGGGAGACAUGUCGAUGUUAAAACCCUCCUACUCCGCAUUAGCAAACGAGCAAUUCUGAAUCCCUGUGCAAAACCCCUUUCAUUUUUCCAUCCAGAAUAUUGACGCAGCCACCAAUUACAAGAGAUAUUCAGGGGCCAGAUGCCAAAACCAACUCGCAAACACAAUUAGCGAGCGGGAACUCCACGCUCGCUUUCACGGUGAAGGGCACGGCGGCAGCCCAGGAGGGCUGCUCCAUCCAGCUGGCACGCCCGGUUACCAGCAAAACCGUUCUACUUGACUCGUUUCUAAUACUUAUAGGAAAAUAACGGAGUGAAGUCACUAUGGUGAGUCUUGGUAGCGUUGAAUCUGGCGGGCGCACUCCAUGCUGCUGCUUCGGUCCGAGGGGAGGCUUAUGACUCAUUUUCUUCCCCUCCUCUUCGGGAGGAAUUUCGCUGCGGCCGAGAUGGAAAAGCCGAGCAGCACCGCUGGCUUCAGGCACGGCCGCGUGUGGCUGGCCGCACUGCCAGCCAGCUGCUUGUGCCGCUGGGUUUUGGUGCAUUUCGGUGGGUUUCCUGGGCAGGCAGAGGGCAGAGGAGGGGCAGGGCUGCUGGCGCAGCGUUCAGGCGCAGCAGAGCCAAGCGAGAAGCGAAAAGGUUGUUGUUAAGGCUAGAUUCGUCUCUCUCUUUCUCUCUCCCAUCUUGAGGCUGAUCCAUCCAAAAAUGUAAACUAGUGUUUUCUUGAUAAUCAGAGACGCUUCUGCUUCUGACUAUUCCAAUCACAAGGAAAUUGAAGGAGAUGGCAACGAAAACAAGAGGACACCAUUCACUGCAAGUUUUUACUGCUCAGAAAACCUCCUAGAUUGCAGCUGAAGAGCAAGAUCAGAUACUUGCUUUUUUGAACAGGCCAGGCAGAAGUCAGAACAAGCAUGGGCUGCCGGUAGUGAAAGCAGCAAGGCUAUCCUGUGAAACAGAUCAAGAAACCCACAUGCGGGAAGGAAGCAGAAAUUCCCUCAUCGUACUCUUCCAAAAGCAACUGCGGAGAGAAAUGCCUAUCUUGCUGCAAGUGACAGGAAGGCAAACAAGCUCCCUGCCACACGGGACGGAGGACUCCACGUCAGGAAAUGCAACCUGUUAACAUCUGUCUGAACGUCCCAUGGCUGCAUCUGCUGGAAGAGGCCACCACGUCCCUGGCUGUUUUGUCCCCCACCCUUCUCCAGCCACGACUUAAAUAAACACCGCUAGGAAAGGUUUCCUUUACGGAACACACGCUCUAAUUCGGUGCUCAGAUACACACGUAUCCUGUUUGCCACACAGCCAGACCUUCAAAAAAGAAAAAAAAUAGAAAAACAUAGGCAGAAGAGCUGCCAUACACGGUGAUGGACAAAAAUCCCGGUGCUUGAAAUCCGCAGCUGGGGCCAGGCUUUUCGCGGUGACUCAGUGCCCUGUGUGCUGAGCUACGUUGAAAACUCUCCUCGAGCUUGGGAGCAGCGACAAACAUCUGUAACGUGACGCACGAGGACAGCUGGGCAGGUGGAGACCCAGAGCCCUGCGGACAGCCAAGUAGCGAACAAGUUGUUCGUACGUCCUAAAACGCUGCUUCUUCCGAAUACAUUAUUUAUGUUUUCGGCUGUUAGGCUUUCCCCUGUUUACACUGAAGGCUCUCAAGCAUAAGGCUGUGAUGAGGCUUACACAAGCCUUAAAACAGCGUCUACCUCACUGAAAGCUUUAAGCUUCCACCUUCCAUGCAGAUGCCUGGCAAUCCUGCAGUAACCAACAGCAGGUUGGGGCCAGCUCAUCGCAUCCCCUGCUUCAGAGCACGCAGGUAGAGGUUAAAAACCUCUAGCUGUUACAGUGCUGCAUAACCACAGAGGAUUCUCCUUUUUUUUUUUUUUUUUUUACUUAAAAGAAACUGAAAUUAAAAUCCACAGUAAGAAUGGACAAGCCAUAAGAGUGUUUGCAUACUCCAGGCCAUUUCGGAAAAAACACUUUUACGCUUGCAUGCCUAACCACCAUAAACCUGAGCUCAUAGGAUUAGUUAGGUGCUGAAAAUCACGCAUAUGCUUAAGUAGUUUCCUGAAUCAGAAGGGCACAGGCUCAGCUUGUGCAAAGGCAACCAUUACACCCUAUGGAGGGUUCAUAUUUUAAGGCGUUACAUGCAGCACACGGCAUCCAGCUACGGAUAACUGCAGGUGUUACAAGGUGUUAUCCAGCUGUGCUUAAGGACGGCUUUGCAAGAGGCACAUUUACUCGGCUUGUCAGAGGGGAGGAACUACCAGUUGUUGACAGCAGGAGCUGUCUUAUGCCAAACCAGUAAGAAUGGCAAGACUGGAAGGACUACAGCAGGGACUAUCUCCAGUGUAAACGCUGAUCACUUCCGAGCCCACCUGGCUUUCCUGUUUUGUGUGAUUAGGCAAGGUACGAGGAGAAGUUUUUGAAGACAAUAGCGAGCCUGUGUGACAGCUCAGAGAGGAGCCCUCUAGAAGCUGGUGCCUGAUAGCACCAGGAUGGACAGAUACUCGGAGCAGAACAAAAGCUCUCACAACAAAACCUGCUGAAGCGGAAGAUACAACAGAAAGGCGAGGAUGCGGCUAAAAGAGACUGCCCGAGCUUCUGUUGGAAAGGCUUUUGAGGUGAAAGCUGCUGCAAAACAAGGAUCCCUGAAGGAAGAAACCUGCGAGCCUCAGUAGCCACAUCCCUGCAGAAGGAAAAUUCAUCCUUUAAUAUAAUUCUGAAAUGGCAGCUGAUUUGCAGCCAGGCCUUGUACACACCUUGAAUAUUCACUGCCUACAGCCUCAGCCAUAAUUGUCAGCAGGCAAUUAUGCUCAAGGUUGUCUUUACUGUAAGGAGUCUAGAGGACAGAAAAAUAACACAAGGGCACAGCACGAUUUUACCAACACCAUUUUACCAAUUCUUACUCUCCCUUUUGACUUAUGCUGUACUCCUGCAGCAAAUUCAAUGGCCAUGACCAGCUCCCUCAAAUCAGAACAGUAACUGAGCUGCUCUUGGUAGCAAUCAAUAUAAAGGCUCUGUCUAGUCGGAAACUCAAACAAUUAAGGAUUAAUCACAAUGAAGUUCUGCCACAGAAUAAAAGGAAAAUAAUCCUCUAGAUGGAAGAUCAGGGGAAAUUCACAGCCUUCAAAAUACUGAACAUCGAAUCCCUUGUGCUCUGUUCCCAUGUUACUAGAUAGACCUGACAUGUUAAAUGUAUUUUAUAAUCCAGGGAUUUCAUUCACCUCUGAACGUGAUUUUAGCUUCACAACAUACAUCAUAUUUGAAGACCUGAAAUGAUUUGUGAAGCAUGAUACAGAGUCUAGACAAGACUGAAGCAAUCCAUGUACAUUUCAAUUGCUUGAACCUUGCAGUAUUACCAUUUGACACAGUAAACAGAGCAUAUUUUGCAUUGUUCUCAUUGCAGUUCCCUGUUUAAAUGCAAGUGAGGUUAGAGUACAAAGAUGUACUCUGAUUGGAUUAGUGCAUUAUUAUUAUUUUUAAAGUUUUGUUCUUUUAAGUUAGAGGCUGUCUGCAAACGCUGGGAUCUUCUGACCUACAUAAAUGUUACGAUGGGUCUCAAGAACUGGUUUAGACCCAUAUCUGAAAAACUCUUAUAAAAAGACCGGUGGUAAUUGUGUUUUGUGGUACAUAUGGCCUUAGAAAACGUAAAAAGAAACCCCAAACCCAUAUUAUCUGGGAGGCAGAAAACCAUUGGUUCUUUUCCAGACAUUCAGUUCCCCCAAAUCUGAAAAACACAACCAAAAGUAUUCAAACAAUAUACACGAUUUGAGCCAAAACCUCUGAGAUGGCCCAAUAACUGGCAGUCCAUUACACUGCCUGCUUGCUUUUUGCAAAAUAAUUUUAAGUUUAUUCACGAAACAGUUAUGAAAUUAGGAUAGUCAAACAAAAAGCACAGUUUGAGUUUCAAGAAAAUAACUUUAGUGCUUAGAAUAUUUUAGGGCACCUGAGGAGGACAAGCUACAUUCACAGACUCACUUGAAAUAUUUUUAUUAUUAUUUUUGAUCUGCAAGUCAUAUUUUCAUAGCAUAAACAAUGUUUUUUUCUCUGACUACCUUCAUCCCUUCACUCCUCCUGCUGCCACUGAAGCUGUAUGGCAGUGUAGUACGUAAUGUCGUGUCCCCACAUAAAUACUAAAACUUCCCCCCCCGCCUCAGGAUUUGCCUUGGCAUCCAGAACUACAAUACAAUAUUAACAAUUAAUUACAAGAUAUCUUAACUUUGGCUGGAAAUAUUUGCAUAUCCUGGUAGGCUCCCUGUCAAUUUUGAUGUGUAAAUGAGCCCUAACCAGAACAAACAUUUUCUUGCCAAAGGACAGGCAGAGAGCAGCAGCUCACACCGCAUGGAAGUGGCCCGCCCUCCCACGAAGGUGGGCUCCCCCUGGUUACAAACACAGCCCAGCGCUGCACCUGAGCAGGCACUUGUUAUCGUGGGGAUGGGAGGAUGCACGAAUUCCAGUACGAAAUCAUGCUACUACAAAUUAAGACGACAUUUUAUUAAUGGCGAACCACGAAAACCUUUGAAGUGGGCUGAAUGGGAGGAACAUAAGCGUGGCAAGGCGGCGAUGUUAAAAAAAAUACGACUGCUUUUUCUUACAGUUAUUACCCUCCCCCGCAAGGCUUUCAACUCGGAGAUCUUAAGCUUGAAUAGCUCCUCUGAUGCCCCGAAGGCAGACAUUCAACCUGUACAGUUUUCACAAUAGGCACUGGUAGCUAGUCUGUGUUUCACAAUAGAUGCUGGGAUUGUGGGGAAGGAAAACUGAUUCAGAGAAAAAUUGUUCUCAGACCUGCGUUAUAUAAUAAGCCCAAGCCAAUUAGAAACACCUACCUUAUAGUAUACAGAAGAUAUAUGAUCAUUUUGUUACUAGAAAACCUCGGAAAAGCUGAUGAGGAAACAAACAUUAAUCCCUGAAACAAAGUCUCAAUUCACCAAGACAAACGUGGGAGUUUUAAUUCUCCUUGUAUUUUUAUCUCCUACAGAAAAUAACAGAUUACUAAGCAUACACUGCUGAUCACAACAUAGCUAAAGGAUUUCUAAGAGAUGUAACACGACAUAAAGGUAACAGCAGUGCUGAAGAUGCUCACUAUGAUGGAGAGAGGAUUUGCAGAUGCCUCUGAAGGCAUAACAGAUGAACCUUCCACCUUUCUGCUCCCACUGGAUGGCGGGUGGGUAGUGAUAGUUUCAGAUGGUAGAUCUCAAGUGCUUGAGCAAAUGCAGAUUUACUGGAAAACACAGACAGCAGCUGAGGAGAGCUUGUCCUUAAACCCACUGCCCACAGCACCUGAGCUGUGGGGCACAAUGAUGGGGACAGCCCAAGCGGUCACACCAGGGAAACAUUCCCCUGACAAGGAAGGGACAAAAAUCAUCACACCGCAUGAUUAAGGAAAAACAAUACCCUUGGAAAUAUCUCACAGGCACCCAGCUUGCCAGGCACCUGAGGCAUGAAUUUGGAGAAGCCCGGUAGCAGCAGCCCCGCUGCAGCACCCGCUGCCGCCUCGUGACGUUUCCGCCUUCUAAGUCCUGAAAACAGCGUGGGCAGGCUUGGGAGCUUCAGCAGGGACGGGAUCCAACUAGCUAGUGAGAUGAAGUCACCAAAUUAAUUUAGCGUUGACCUAUCCAGAGCUUUGCUGCACCCCCCCCCCCCAUGCAGAUACACUGGGAGGUGAAGGGCUGUCAACGCACUCCGAGCGCAGCGUCACGACAAAGGGGGUUUUGUAACGCCCUGCAGCCCUCCUCGCGGGGGCACAGCAGCCCCCAGGGCCCCACGCGUGGCCGUGAUGCAGCAGCACAGGGCUGGGAAGAGGGGAGAUGGGAUUAAACGGGGGGAACGCAGUGGCUCGAUGCUAGCAGGCAGCUGCAGCUUGCUAGCAGGACGCUUAACGCAGCCCGCUUGCGAGGCGCGGGGAGCACCGGCUGUUGUCUCAUGGGAUGGGUGCUGCGGUGGCUCAGGAGACGGACUACGACACGUCUUUUCUGCUCUCCCCCUCUGCAACACCACGCAGACGACGAGGACCUUGCCACACGUUGGCUUUUCUCUCCUGCACAAAAACCAAAUGCAGACGCGCACCGUUUUUACGCCCCAUUUCUUCUAACCCUGACACACGCACGUUGCACACGGGAACGGUGCCCUUUGCACGGCGCCUUCCGAGCAAUGCUGUGCGCCUUCACGGUGCCUGCACCUGGGGAAGGAGCAGUGACACGGCUGCUGCCUGCGCGAGCAUCCCGGGGCACACGGGGAAGGGUGCCAGGGCAGAGCCCCCGGGACAGAGCCAGGCAGGCGGCCAGCGCCAGCUCCUGCCUGAGAGACCGUGGCAGAAAGGUGACGACACGGAGCUGGGCUACGGGACAACGUUUAUUUUAAGCUACCUUCGCCCCGCAGUUGUAAACAAGCAUGUGACAACAGAUGAAGCAACACGCAGCCAUGCUGGCUGCUUUCGCCCAUGCAUCACUCCCUAAAACGCGUCCCUGUAUUUUUGUAACAUAAAACAUUAAGCUCCAGCAUGGUUGAGUAGGGUUGCCACUGCUAUCGCAGCUCGGCUGCCAUUUGGGGCUUAAGGGACAAGCAGCAGGCUUUCUGCUGGCUGUGCAGGGCACCCCAUGGGCAGGCUUGCACGUUAAGACUGCCUUUUACUGAGCUCCGCGUCCAGCCUCUCUCUCUCCUCCCUCAGCCACAGAAGAAAGCAAGACUAGAAAUAACAAAAAAAUCUGAGCUUUGACAUCUGAGUUUGUCAAAUUAGGCCCAAAUAAAGACCCGUCUUCGGCUCACACAAACUCCCCACAGAGCAUUAUUAAUAUUAGAAAGAUUUCCAGCGUUAGCAUUUCAGCCACGGCACUUAAUUUUUGUUUUGGACACCAACUUAACUUGACCUCUUCCCUCAUUUUCAUGACUUAAUACUGUAACAGCCAAGGAGAUGUUCUGAAAUUACUCUGGUAUGCAAAAUAUUAAUAGCAAAUGACUUGUACUUGAGAAUUAAUCCUACUAAGGACUACCUAAGAUAGGACUGAACUUCUAACUGCUAUUGCUUAACUGCUAAAUUAAUUUUAGAGCAACUAGAACUAGAAUUUGCUAAUCCUUCAUGGAGUAAAUUGCCCUUUAUGAACACGUUAGCUCAACCAUCUGUGAUUUAUGUAAUUUUAAUGUAUUAUUCUUGCUGUGUGCCAGUAACCACAAACUUACUUCACCUUUGUUGCACUACCAAUGCAAGCGUUGAAGUUUCCAGCACAAAGUAAAGCUUCCCCCAAACACAUUUU